AAUUUUGGACAAUGGGGGAAACCCUGAUCCAGCCAUCCCGCGUGUAUGAUGAAGGCCUNCGGGUUNUNAAGUACUUUUGGCAGAGNGGAAAAGGUAUCUCCUAAUACGAGAUACUGCUGACGGUAUCUGCAGAAUAAGCACCGGCUAACUACGUGCCAGCAGCAGCGGUAAUACGUAGGGUGCAAGCGUUAAGCGGGAUUACUGGGCGUAAAGCGUGUGCAGGCGGGUCUGAAAGAAAGAUGUUAAAUCCCACGGCUCAACCUUGGACCUGCAUUUUUAACUGACGAACUAGAGUAUGUCAGAGGUGGGUAGAAUUCCACGUGUAGCAGUGAAAUGCGUAGAUAUGUGGAGGAAUACCGAUGGCGAAGGCAGCCUCCUGGAAUAAUACUGACGCUCAGACACGAAAGCGUGGGGAGCAAACAGG
RNAcentral lists this ribosomal RNA (424 nucleotides) under uncultured bacterium. Its description in RNAcentral is "partial 16S ribosomal RNA". It matches the Rfam family "Bacterial small subunit ribosomal RNA", at positions 360 to 776 of the family's 1533-position model. The record is from RNAcentral.